GAAAAAAGUAAAAUGGCGGACAAGUAGUGCACUCUCAGCUCCUACACUAAUGGGUCAGAAUGGAGCUUUCUUCAGCUGGCAUGAAGUACAACUAAAUUGUCAGAAAAACUGCUUAUGAAAGGUCUGCUUCGAUGUACGAUUGUGAUGUAAUGCAAUAAUAGACUUCAAUUUAUGCACAGUAGCUAGAACUACAAGCUUCCAAGCAAUGUGAAUCCAGAAAAGAAGAAAAAGAAAGAAAACUGACUCAAUGACUAGCAAGAAACUACAAAACUCAAGAUUUACCAAUAUUUCUUGUUGUUUACCAGAAGAGGUUGUAUCCUACAUCUUCAGAUUUCUCUCUCCAGUUGAUAUCCAGUCAGCAUCGUUAGUCUGCCAGUCAUGGGCAAAAGCUUCUGAAGACCCGUUGCUAUGGAAACAUACAGCUGUUAUAUUAUUCACAAAAAAUGAAAAUUUCUCCGAAGAUUUAUUGGAUAGUCUGAAGCGGCGAUGUAUUCAGCAUGUAUCUUUUCGGCACACGACAACAUCUUUGCAAGUUGUCCAAGUAUGUAAAAGGUUGUCAAGUAAUCUUAAGGGUUUGUCGCUAGAGGGCUGUCGUUGUGUUAGCGAAUCUUUGUUAGGGAUCAUACUGAAGAGUUGUAAAAAUUUAAAGCAAGUUAACUUAAGUAGGUGCCGACAACUUGAUGUCUCUAAGCAAUCCAAGUGGCUUGUCGCAAACUCUCUUAAAUAUAUAACCGUUCUGGAUCUCAGUUGUACAAAGGGCCUAUGUGACUGGACGAUUGGACAAAUACCUACGACUUUUCCUGGGUUGGAGAAGCUUGGUAUAUCAGGCUGUAAAGAGGUGUCCUUAAAGACAUGGAUGAUAUUAGGAAAAUCUUUGACUUGCUUGAAAAACCUCGACAUCAGUCGUUCAGAUAUAUCUGAUGAAACUUUGCUUAAAUUUGCCGAGCUACCAUCUUUGCAUUUAACCUCGAUUAAUUUAUCCGCUUGCAAACAAUUAACAGAUAACGGCAUUGUAUCAUUAGCAAAACACCAGAAAGAGCUGCAAUACCUGAAACUAACAUGUUUAGACAUAACGGACACUAGUGUCAUCGCAGUUGGGAAAUAUUUGAGUGAGUUGAAGUUUUUGGACUUGAACAGUUGUCGGCAGAUUACUGUUGCAGCGUUACCUCACUUGGAGCAGCUAACGAAGGGAUUAGUCUCACUUAAUUUGUACUCAUGUUAUCAACUGACAAACAAAAGACUGGAGAAGUUUUUCUUGAGCUCAAAGGACAACACAAGUAACACUAGUCCUCCAUUGACAAGCCUGACAUUAAAUGGUUGUAGCUUAACCACAGAUAGUGUGAUUAUUGCCUGCAGUAAAGUAUUUGGCAACCUACAAGAACUUGAUAUAAGCUCUUCUUUACAUGUUACCAAUGUUGGGAUACAAGCCAUUGCUUCCUCUUUAAUGGACUUACGAGUUUUAAAAUUAAGCUGGUGUGAUAAUGUAACUGAUCAUGGACUGCUAGGAACUGGUUGCCAAGGUAACAAUAAAUGUGUUGACGGCAACUUGAAUGGAACAGUUGGACAAGAGAAAGCGUUGGAACAGGAGGGCGUGUCUUCCAGUGGUCUCGGCCUACUCACUAAGCUGUGUUCCUUGGAUAUCAGUCACUGUACUAGAAUCACAGAUAAUGGACUGACUAGUAUCUAUCAACUCAAGAAUCUUAGGACAUUGAACAUAAAUAUGUGUAUUGAGAUUACUGACGUCUCCCUCCAAGGCAUCGCAAAGCACAUGUGUAGCCUUGAGUGCCUGUCGCUUAAUGGCUGCAACCUGGUAACCGAUGUCGGCAUGGUUGCUGUAGCUCAGAACCUACCACACCUAUCAUCUCUAGACAUAUCAAAAUGUGACCUUAUCACUGAUCUGAGUAUUCUGACCCUCGCGAAACGCAGUAAGAAUCUGACGCAUCUGGAUCUUAGUAUGUGUGCACAAGUCACAAGUCAUUCUAUUGAUGAGCUGGAAGCCAAUCUACCAAGACUAGUGUCUCUACAGUUGAGAUAUUCAGGUGCUAAUGUAUCUCAUAAAUAUUUAUUAGGAUAAAAUGUCAGUUGAUUGGCAGGUGUCUGUCAGACAAGUACAGUUGAGAUAUUCAGGUGUUAAUGUAUCUCAUAAAUAUUUGAUUGAUUGGCAGGUGUCUAUCAAACAAGUACAGUUGAGAUAUUCAGGUGUUAAUGUAUCAUGAAUAUUUGGUUGAUUGGCAGGUGUCCAUCAAACAAGUACAGUUAAGAUAUUCAGGUGUUAAUGUAUCUCAUAAAUAUUUGAUUGAUUGGCAGGUGUCUAUCAAACAAGUACAGUUGAGAUAUUCAGGUGUUAAUUAUCUCAUAAAUAUUUGGUUGACUGGCAGGUGUCUAUCAAACAAGUACAGUUGAGAUAUUCAGGUGUUAAUUAUCUCAUAAAUAUUUGGUUGAUUGGCAGGUGUCUAUCAAACAAGUACAGUUGAGAUAUUCAGGUGUUAAUUAUCUCAUAAAUAUUUGGUUGAUUGGCAGGUGUCUUUCAAACAACAAAGUCAUAUAAAGUAUUUUCAAGUGUUUAAAAAUGUUAUUUAUUUGUGAGUUUGAGACAUGAACAUUCAUGCCAAAUGGACAGGAACCCCAAGCAGUAUAAAUCAUGGAAAGAACCAAUUGGUCAUGUAUUAACAUGGAACAAUAUAAAAGUUUUAAAACAUUAUCAUUAUGCCUUUUCUAAUAAACUAAUAAAUUAACUAGAAGCUGAUAAUACUCCUAUUUCGAGUUCGCCUUUGCUCAGUCUUAGCCUCAAUUGUCUACGAUUCUUUUUCUUUUCUUUUAUUAUACGUGUUGAUUAAAGAUACGUGUUGAUUAAAAUGCCACUGGUUUUGGUUGCAUGGUUGAAUAUUUUAACAACUGAGGCUAAGGCGAAGCAAAGUAUACUUGAAACUGGAGUAUAAGGAGGGAGGGUGUCCAGCCCCCCUCCUUUCCUUCGACAUGCCACUACCCCACACUCCAUACUGUACCUAUAUACCCCUUGCACUGAGUCCCAAGAGGAAUUGUUCUGGGGGACAUAAAAAUGGGNUUUUUGUUGUUGUUUUUUUCAUGAGAAAAGAGGGCCUAUUGUUUUCCCCCCAGAACAAUUCCUCUAGGAAAUUUAUGCAAGGGGUCUAUACAGUCCCACAAUUCCAUUGGAAAUGCAUCCUAUUCUGUGCUUAAACUUGAUAAACUGUUUGAUAUUAAAUGAUUCAACGGCAUUGGCAACAUAUAAAGCGUUUUCACUCAGUCCCUUGAGAGUUAACUGACAAUAGAGAUGGCUGCCAUAUUGGUUUACCUAACAAAAGAAACUAAUGACAAACCAUGGCAGCGUGAGUUCAUGUGAAAACCCUCUAUAAAGUUUUAAAUGGAGUGUGUUUUCACACGGAGCCCAAGCUGGGUUAUUACCAAUGUUGUUAGAAGUGACGUAUUUGAUGCUGCUGCUGUUGUUGUUGCUGCUGCUGUUGUUGGUGCUGUUGUUACUGCUGUUGUUGCUGCUGCUAUUGUUGCUUUUGUUGUUACUGUUGACUUGUUUCUGCUGUAGUUGUUGCAGUGCUAUUGCUAUUGUUGCUGUUGUUAUUGCUAAUGUUGUUGCUGUUGUCUUGUUGCUGUUGUGGUUGUUGCUGAUGUAAAUGGUGCUGCUACUGUUGUUGUAGCUGUUGUUUGUGUUGAUCCUGUUGUUGUUUGCUGCUGCUAUUGCUCAAAACUGGACUUGGGCUCCCUGUGGUGUUGGAUAAACUAAAUGAUUAUGGACAUCAGUAAAUAAAAGCAAGGUAGGUAAUUAAAUACAAAAGUAAAAAUUUGUAAUCGAGAUUCUUAAUUAAUAAUAGUCCCUUUCACAACUCCCUGCGCCAUGUGAAUAAUUGUUCAAUGUGUCGAAAAACGUUCUAUCAUUCCAAGCUCAUCGUUAUCGCUUCGAAGCAAAGGCACGGCUAGCUUUCAAGAUGGCACCGGGAAUUUUGAAGAGGACUUCUCAACUUCAAUAGAAUAUACGUUUCGUCCCAUUCUAUCUAUUCCAUUCCAUUUUCCAUUAUUUCAUUCAAUUCCCUCAUUUUGCAUUCAAAUAUUUCUAUCCCUUUACUUCCCAUUCAAACCUUUUUAGUUUCCUUUUUCUAGAUUUGUUUCGUCCACUUAUAGAUAUUCCAAUUCAUGCAUAUUAUAGUUAAAUCCCAUUUUGUCUUUUCAUAUCCACUUCCAUUAUCCCUUCCUAUUAUUCUAAUCAGUUUCAUACCUAGUCCUAUCACAUCCCAUCCACUCAUAUUGCAUGCAUUACUAUACCACUAUCUUAUCUACUGCCCCAUAUCUUUUGGUUCUCAUUCAGUCUAGUCUUUUCCAAUUUCAUUCUACUCUGUCCCACUUCUCUCGUGUUUAUUCCUUUCCUUCGUUCCUUCGUACGUUCCUUCCUUCCUUCCUU
This 4429-nucleotide unclassified non-coding RNA is filed under the name Actinia tenebrosa (Australian red waratah sea anemone). Its description in RNAcentral is "f-box/LRR-repeat protein 14-like, transcript variant X8". The record is from RNAcentral. Lineage: Eukaryota; Metazoa; Cnidaria; Anthozoa; Actiniaria; Actiniidae.